GAUGAACGCUGGCGGCGUGCCUAAUACAUGCAAGUCGAGCGAACAGACGAGGAGCUUGCUCCUCUGACGUUAGCGGCGGACGGGUGAGUAACACGUGGAUAACCUACCUAUAAGACUGGGAUAACUUCGGGAAACCGGAGCUAAUACCGGAUAAUAUAUUGAACCGCAUGGUUCAAUAGUGAAAGACGGUUUUGCUGUCACUUAUAGAUGGAUCCGCGCCGCAUUAGCUAGUUGGUAAGGUAACGGCUUACCAAGGCAACGAUGCGUAGCCGACCUGAGAGGGUGAUCGGCCACACUGGAACUGAGACACGGUCCAGACUCCUACGGGAGGCAGCAGUAGGGAAUCUUCCGAGAUGGGCGAAAGCCUGACGGAGCAACGCCGCGUGAGUGAUGAAGGUCUUCGGAUCGUAAAACUCUGUUAUUAGGGAAGAACAAAUGUGUAAGUAACUAUGCACGUCUUGACGGUACCUAAUCAGAAAGCCACGGCUAACUACGU
This 496-nucleotide ribosomal RNA is filed under the name uncultured bacterium. RNAcentral describes it as "partial 16S ribosomal RNA". It matches the Rfam family "Bacterial small subunit ribosomal RNA", at positions 28 to 506 of the family's 1533-position model. The record is from RNAcentral.